Long non-coding RNA from Branchiostoma floridae (Florida lancelet), 858 nucleotides. RefSeq lists it as uncharacterized. The record is from RefSeq and is a predicted model, not a curated record. The transcript has 2 exons. NCBI's taxonomy places the organism in Eukaryota, Metazoa, Chordata, Leptocardii, Amphioxiformes, Branchiostomatidae.
CACACACACACACACAGACACACACACAAACACGCCCAAAACAUAACCUUAGCCAUUCUGGCAAAGGUAAUUAUUGUGUCUUUCUGGGGUCGCCCUGUAGCUGACAGAUAUGGUUAGACAAUUCACAAAAUUGUCCAGCCUAAGGCAUACUUGUCGUAUUGUUAUGUGUAUCCCUGUCCGUCUGUGUGAUAUUUCUCCUUUACUUCUUCAUUUCCGCACGCAGGUCAGACCGAGAUGUGUCUGAAACUCGAGUCAAAGGGUAACAAGUCCAAUGAAAUGGUAGAAAGAAUCGGAAUUUUUUUUUGUUCUCUUCGCAAAUUAGGACUCGGUCUGCUCAUAUCUAGGGCCAGUAUCUUGUGUCCCUAGAAAUGUGCUGUACAGCUGCUAAAACCUCAGUGUCAAACUGAACGAAUUUACCAUAAACUUCAGCAAAACCACAAUGUCCAAUUUUAUGAUACGCAUGAGCAAAACCACAUAUUGAUACUCUUUGACAUGUUUUGCAGUUAGCACAGUCCGUGAUUACUGUGUUUUUCUGGGUUCGUCCUAUGGCUGAUGAAUAUGAGAGUAAUUAACAAAUACCUCCAUAAGUGUGGUAUGCGAAUGGACCUUUGUGUGUGAUGCCCGCUGGAGACGCUAACUCCUACCGCUAACAGCCUACCGGACAACCUGAAGACCGGAGGUUUCAGUGGCACCAAAAGGCCAGAAGUAAACGUUAGGUUGAUGAAUAACAAUCGUGAAAGCGCAGUUUUGUAAUGAUCCUCAUGGACAUUGUGUUGUAUUUCUUCCGUUCAUGUUGAGUGUUCGCUGUGGAAUUUCGCUUAUUUCGGUGGUUGUUCAAUAAAACCUGAUGUAAAAACA